This 1087-nucleotide long non-coding RNA is filed under the name Lonchura striata (white-rumped munia). RNAcentral describes it as "domestica (Bengalese finch) lncRNA (ENSLSDG00000004831.1)". Lineage: Eukaryota; Metazoa; Chordata; Aves; Passeriformes; Estrildidae. The record is from RNAcentral.
CUGGCUGCAGGCAUGUGAGGCACUGGGAUAAACUGGGAGUGCCUGGAACAGGGAGUGGUGUCCAUGGGACACUGGGAUGGUUGAGAGAAAGUAAGUGUCAGGUGCUGGUCUGAACUGGGGGCACUGGGCUGUACUGGGAACAGGGCUAUGUGUGAGGUGCUGUCAUAACUGGGCAUGUGGCUGCAGGUGAGGUGCUGGUAUGAACUGGGAGCACUGGGCUGUACUGGGAACAAGCUGUGCGGGCAUGAUGUGCUGUCCAGAACUGGGGGCACUUGCCUGUAUUGGGGAUGGGGCUGUGUGUGAGGUGCUGGUCGGAACUGGGAAUACUGGGCUGUACUGGGGAUGGGGCUGCGUGUGAGGUGCUGGUCUGAACUGCAGGCACUGGGUUAUACAGGGAACCAUGGAGGGUUAUACAGGGGCACUGGGGGCUCGAGAUGCUGGUCAGAACUGGGGCACUGGGGGUUCGAGAUACUAGUCAGAACUGGGGCACUGGGGGUUCGAGAUACUGGUCAGAAGCGGGGCCAUGGGGGUUCGAGGUGCUGGUCAGAACUGGGGCCAUGGGGGUUCGAGAUGCUGGUCAGAACUGGGGCCAUGGGGGUACGAGAUGCUGGUCAGAACUGGGGCCAUGGGGGUACGAGAUGCUGGUCAGAACUGGGGCACUGCGGGUACGAGGUGCUGGUCAGAAGCGGGGCCAUGGGGGUACGAGAUGCUGGUCAGAACUGGGGCCAUGGGGGUACGAGAUGCUGGUCAGAACUGGGGCACUGGGGGUUCGAGAUGCUGGUCAGAAGCGGGGCCAUGGGGGUACGAGGUGCUGGUCAGAAGCGGGGCCAGGGGGGUUUGAGAUGCUGGUCAGAAGCGGGGCCAGGGGGGUUUGAGAUGCUGGUCAGAAGCGGGGCACUGCGGGUACGAGGUGCUGGUCAGAACUGGGGCACUGGGGGUACGAGACGCUGGUCAGAACUGGGGCACUGGGGGUACGAGAUGCUGGUCAGAACUGGGGCACUGAGGGUUCGAGAUGCUGGUCAGAAGCGGGGCCAUGGGCUGCACCGGGCUCGGGCCGGGGGCGGCGGGCAGGGCCGCACGGGCAGGG